RNAcentral lists this ribosomal RNA (676 nucleotides) under uncultured fungus. RNAcentral describes it as "eukaryotic LSU rRNA". It matches the Rfam family "Eukaryotic large subunit ribosomal RNA", at positions 37 to 652 of the family's 3401-position model. Lineage: Eukaryota; Fungi. The record is from RNAcentral.
AGCAUAUCAGUAAGCGGAGGAAAAGAAACUAACAAGGAUUCCCCUAGUAACGGCGAGUGAAGCGGGAAUAGCUCAAAUUUAAAAUCUCGGCGUUUUGCGCCGCGAAUUGUAGUCUAAAGAGGGUGAUCUAGGGUUGGUGGUGUGCUCAAGUUCCUUGGAAUAGGACGCCAGAGAGGGUGAGAGCCCCGUAACAGCACAUUGCCUUCCUCAAGUGAGAGCCUCUCAACGAGUCGAGUUGUUUGGGAAUGCAGCUCAAAGUGGGUGGUAAAUCUCAUCUAAGGCUAAAUACUGGCAAGAGACCGAUAGCGAACAAGUACCGUGAGGGAAAGAUGAAAAGCACCUUGAAAAGGGAGUUAAAUAGUGCGUGAAAUUGUUAAAAGGGAAACGAUAGAGACUAGUAUUGGGCGUUGGCUAAGUCGGUAUUUCGGUAUCGGUGGUGCUUGCGCUUCGAGUCAAUGUCAGUUGUUUUUACCGGAUACGGCUUGGAGAAAGGUGGGGUUGACUUGUCUUCUCUUUAUAGUCUCUGAUGCCUGCGGUCGAGGCGACUGGAAGUCUUGGGACGCUAGGCUACUCGGGGGCAGUAAGUGGCAGACAGCAUGCUGACUGUUGCUUUUCUGUUUUCUACUAACCGACGCUUACCUGGACGCUUUUGACGAGAUGGUCUUUAACGACCCGU